CCCUCAUCUCCUCCAGGAGCCCCAGCAGCCCAGCUUUGAAGAACACCUGGAGAGAGGGAGUGUUGCAGCAGGUCACUGACAGGCAGAGCAAAGCACAGGCACAGGAUCCUAUCUGUUCUUUAUCCUGUUCUACCGAAAAACAGGAAAAGAAGAUCUAAAGUCCUGCAAAUCCUUGAUUUCAAUGCACACAUGGGGAAGAAAAAAAUAAGAGGUGGAAGUGACCUUCCCGGACUCCCUGCUCUGGACUGUCCCUUUCACAAAGGAUUCCUUAGGAUGCACCACAAAGACAGAUGACUUGGCAUCAAAAGGCUUGUUCUGGGCUGCAAUUCUCUCCUUCUCUGACUUCCGGAGCUAACACCAGAGGAAGAGAUCUGGGCAGCAGAUUCUGGCUAAGGAGGUGACAUUUGGGAUGCCCUUCCAUCAACAGCCAAAGCAGCUGAUGGGCUCCUGUUACAGACCAGUGACCUUCCCGGACUCCCUGCUCUGGACUGUCCCUUUCACAAAGGAUUCCUUAGGAUGCACCACAAAGACAGAUGACUUGGCAUCAAAAGGCUUGUUCUGGGCUGCAAUUCUCUCCUUCUCUGACUUCCGGAGGUAGAAUGCAGAAUCCUGCACUAUUUCCUGCUGUGCUCCUCUUGGACUGGUUCUACUGCUGCCAUAGCAAAGAUGGGAAGCCAGCAUGUCUUGGAUCCAGUUAGGGCAGUGCUCCACUGGGCCCAGAGGCAACCCACAGCACAGUUAAAGAGAAGAGGUGGACUGAAAGCCAUCUCUGGAUACAGCCUCUCCUGCACAGCAAUGCCAGUCGGUACAGCACACAUUCCCCACCGAGAACAUUCAGUCAUGCUGAAAACAGAUCCUUCUUGAGACAGAGAUCAGGCAGCUGCCUGCCUUGGUGUGUAUUUUCUCCUCCUGAUCCCUGUGGUUAGCUGAGAGACAAGGAGUGAGCAGGCAUUUCUUAGAUAGGUAGCACAGCCUGGGGGAGAGGACAACGGGGAGUGGGAACCUCCCUCUCCUGCAUGUUCUGGGUCCUCAAGCUUCUGAGCUGGAAACAGGAGAAUGUACCUGUAUGAAAGGAGGUUCUGCAGUAGGAAAAGGAAUCCUUUCCUGUGUUCUGGUGAUCCCUAAUCUCUCACCCUGAGAAUUACUCUCAGGCCUUCUGCUAUCCUAGCUAGAACAGGCUGCCCUCCAAGAGGAAUGACUUUGGGGGUGUGGUUGAUAUGAAUACAAGUGCUCUCACUGCAAACAGGACAAAUCAAGUGUCAUGUGGUGUUAGAAAUGUGGUCAGCUCAUUGUAUCAUAGAAUCAUAGAAUCCUAGGGGUUGGAAGGGACCUCAAAAGAUCAUCUAGUCCAACCCCCUUGCCAGAGCAGGGUCACCCAGAGCACAUCACACAGGAAUGCGUCCAGGCGGGUUUUGAAUGUCUCCAGUGAAGAAGACUCCACAACCUCUCUGGGCAGCCUGUAGGAAGCCGUGAUUCCUUUUGCUUGACACUAGUGAGUCCUCAUCUGAAAUGGUUUGUCCAGCUUUUGGCUCCCCUGUUCAAUGGCCUGGAGUGCAGGCUCAGAUGCCUACACAGAGAGCAAUGUCUUCUGUGCCUGGGGACAAGUCACUCCAGCUGCUCCUCCUCAGGUGAUCAGGGUCCCUGAUGCUCUCACCAGAAAGGGAGGUGCUCAGGUCCCUGGAGGGACCAGGAAUGUCUGCAUGGAUGUGCUGCUACUCCGGGCACUCCUCAGAGGUAAGGUGAAAUGAAGCCAAAAGCCUGCAGGUGGUAGGUUAUUAUUGCUGACUAUGCCCUGCUUCAACCUCAUCAGUAUCCUGGGUGACUGAUCUCCAGACCCUCAUAAAACACUAUAAAUACCCACAGCAUAUAAUGUACACACAUCUGCCUGGUGGUGAUAUGCACAUUAGUGCUUGAUGUGUCUCUAAACACUGUGUCACACGGGUGACAGACUUAGUGACAAGCAGCUUUUCUUGGACAUGCUUCUGAAUUAGGUUCCUCUCAAUUAUAACAACCAAAAAUGACCUGGCGUUGAGAAAUUAAAAUAUUUUUGUCCAUCUCCUGCAACUGUUGCUUAUCUUCAAGAGGAAUUAGCAUACAUUCCCUCAAAAUCUCCAGAGGAACAACCUCCUGCGUAGUCAUUGGUGCAAAAGCAACUGGUUGCACCGUGAAGUCAUUCAGAACAAACACGUUUUGCUUUGGGUUUUUUGUAUGACAAAAGUCCCCCAGAGGCUAUAGCACUCGGACUCUUCCUCAUGAAAGACAGUCUGAUGCUGUUUCAAGUGAUCUUCACCCUUGCAUUGCUCCCUGUUAUCUGAAAAACAGCACCUGAGGAAAGGGGGGGUUUAGCAAUUUUGAUGCCAGGCAUCCGGACAAGCCUGUUCCUGCAGAGGGAGUUGGAAGUGGCUGAGCUUGAACAGGGAUGUACAGGAAGAUCACUGACUUCCCAGCCUGGCAGCUGCUGGGAUAGACAGGGAAAAGCUGUGGCUGUGGUUUCUGGGAGCAGCUGUUUAGCACUACCCACUGCUCCAACAUGCCAUCCCCCCGUGGUUAUCAGGCUUUGCAGAGGUCUGGUGUAGGCAGAGCCAUUCUGCUCUGAUCAUGAUGUGGUUGUUGUCCCCUGCUUCUGAACACUCCUGACUACAGGAGACUAUUUUAAACAGCAGAGUUUUAGUUUAGUCCCUUCCUUCCCCUCCCCACAUCUUCAGAGAAUUUUACUCCCAAAUAAUUUGCGUUUCCAGCUGCUGUACAAAACUGAACCUCAGCCCAUGAGAGGAUAUGAAACAGCAGCUGUGCAUUCAUCUCCUGGCUAAAAAACAGGAGGAUCUGUAAGGUAAGAAAGCCAGAGCAUAAAAAAGCAUCAUGCAGAGAUAGUCUUGUAAAUUUGAGAAUAAGCAGAGAGCCAUAUCAGCCUAGAGCAAAGGCCUUGCUGGUAUCUUGUGCAUAAGUGUAUGUUGGAUACUUGGGGAAAAUCCAAUUUAAUUUUUUCAAUGGUACUUGUAAUAUCAUGUAAGCAUUUCAUCUUCCCACCUAGUUGUUCCCUUCCUAAAGUGAAAGAUCAUAGCCUGGACACCUUGUCUCUCCAGUGCUCCCAUAAAUCUCAUCAUCUUUCUUUGUAUCCUCCCUAAUUUCAUAGGCCAAAAUAGAAUCACAGACUCACCAAGGCUGGAAAAGACCUGCAGAUAGCAGGUGGUUUGUGGGCCUGCUACAGUGAUUUCUUGUUUGUUCUCAGUAGAUCCUGGUAAUUCCUGGUGCUCUGUGUGCCUUUUAUGGCCACCAGUGAGCACUGACUUGACGUUUGGAGGCAACUAUUCGCUAUUCUUUUGUAUUUCCUGUCUCCUAAUCCUGGUCCUCCUUUCAGAGACUGUAGGGUUUGGUCUGUGUGUGGCUCAGUCACCAUAUGGACAGAGAAGUUGAUGUUCUGUUUCAUCUGCACAAAGGGUUUUCACACUGAUGAUUUUACUGUCAGCCUUACAAGGACACCAACUUUCAUAGUGGCCUUCACCAAAAUGACAGUGAGGACUGAAGGGUGGCACAGCCCAGCCAGCAGAGCAGGGGAACAACAUGUGAGGCAGCAAACUUUUAUUUGGAGGUGAGCAGCUUUUCACUGAGUGUCAGAGUUGUGCUGUUUACUCAGACUCCUCAUGUUCCCAGGAAACAUCAGCAGAAGAGCUGGCUGAGGAGGUGACAUUCAGGAUGCCCUUUCUAUCACCCACCAAAGCAGCUGAGGGGCUCCUGUUACGGAGCAGGGGAGGAGGGUGGGCAGGCUAAGACAAAGAAAAAAGAGAGCAAGUGGCAAAAGGGGGGAGGGAAAGAGAGGGAAGGAAAAUCAGGAUUAGGUGCAUAAUUUUAGCACUAGCAACAACUGUAUCCUAAAAAAGAGAGCAGUGAGGUGAUAUCUUCCUAGGCUGACACUCAUCUGUGACAGUUGCACAAAUCCCACUUCUGGGCACAUUUCAGUGCUGUAAAUGGAAAUACACUGGUAUGGAAUUUGUAUAAACCUCUUCACUUUAAACAUUAGACUUUUCAAGGUUAAUACUGGGUUAGCAUGGGAUUUUCUGAGUACCAGAGUACCUACGGGAUACAUAGCAGAAUGUUCUAGUGGCAUUUUUGAACUAACUUUUUGUGUUGCAGAGAAGUUCCUUUUGCAUCCUCAGGAAAUUUGUCAACAGCCUCAUUAUUUUCUGUUGGGAGACAGAUUUUCUUAGUGGUCAGCCUAAACAUUUCCCUAAUUGCUCUUUGCAUCCGUUUGAGAUGCUGAGGGAAAGACACACAUCCCUGCUCCCUCUGAAGAGUAAAUCAGUUGUGUAAAGCAGCUGGAGACAAUGACAGCAACCAGAUAACCAGCAGCCAGAGUGUUUUACAUCUCAGUCAGGACUGUGGACUGAAAAAUACAUGCUAAUUCUUCUGCACACAAAAUGCAGCACCAACUUCACUGCAUCACUGCUUUGCUGAGCAACACAGCUCUGCGUUGCCUUCCUUCCAGACCAGUCCCUCAGGUCCCUCAAAGUGUCUGCUUCUCCCUGAGAGGGCCUCCAGGUGGGCACAAUCUUGCAGGUGCCUUGUGGGGUCCCACAGCAUCAUCCCAUAGUCCCACACUGCUGCCUGCCCCAUGUCAGCUGAGCGUGGACGUUACCUCUGGGCUGUGAUCCCUGGCCAUCCAUAGGGGACAGCAGCUCUAUAUGAGCCCAUCAGCUGCAUCUAUUUUAAACUUUCUCUCCGAGAUGUUCAUUUAUGGCCACUAUGGACUGCUGCUUUUCUUAAGACCUUUGCAGAAGCCCUUAUCAGGUGACAGGCAGCCUCACUCCACAGGCUGAGUGCCAGUGCAAAAUGACCCUCAUUCUCCGUACAGCAGCGAGUAAUUCGUCUUCUUCAUAUCAAUGUCUCACUUUGAUCCUGAUAAUCCAGCAGGCUUUAUAGGAGUGGCUUUCAGUGGGGAUUUAGCUUCUGCUUCCAUCUCCUCCUCCAAUUCCAGGUUGGUGUUUGUUUUUUUUCUUGGAAGAUUUCUUCCAAAACAUAUGCAUGGGUGGCAGGCACGGGCUGGGCUCACACAGAGUGACAAACUAGGUCCCUGUAGGGUGGGCCACAGCAGCAGCUCAAAACUUGGGCCACUUUGCACCAUCCCCAUCCACUUCCAGAGACAGCAGCUCCUGAGGCUGGAGGAUCCCAAUACAGGCUGCCAUCCCUGCCUGGGGACCAGGCUGGGCCAGAAAGGGCUAACUGUGUUUGGGGGCUUUCAGAUUCCAGCUGGGGACUGACAGUAGUCCCAGCCCUCUGGGAAAGUAUGGGUUUUCACUGCCUCCUGCCAACACAGGUUGUGCUCCUGAGUUUGGGAAAUGCUGCCUGAAGAUGCUCCCUCUGAGGUGCAGCCAGUUCCUCUCAGCACAGAGCCUGGGCAUGAGCAAUAGCCAUGUGCCAUGUCCAGGAGUAAAGAAACAACACCCUGCUUUACUUUACACUUGAAAUAUAAGAAAUUAUUACAUUAUUCAAUACAGUAAAUUAUCAAAUUAUUAAAUACAGUAAUUUCUUCAAAACUAAAGCUCGACAAAGCUGUCUCAAGGUGGGCUAUGAGUUAGACUGUCAUUUGCAGAUUAUCAUGAGUCACCAUCCCUGGAGGUAUUUAAAACAUGUGUAGAUGUGGUGCUGAGGGACAUGGUUUAGUGAUAGAUUUGGCAGUGCUAUGUUUACUUGAUGAUCCUAAAGGUCUUUUCCAACAAAAAAAAAUAAAAAUCCUGUGAUCAUUGUAGAGUUUCCCAGAA
This is a long non-coding RNA of Apus apus (common swift), 5756 nucleotides long. RefSeq lists it as uncharacterized. The transcript has 7 exons. The record is from RefSeq and is a predicted model, not a curated record. Lineage: Eukaryota; Metazoa; Chordata; Aves; Apodiformes; Apodidae.